CCCCAAGUGGGUAUGGGUGAGGUGGGUGGGACUGUGCACGUGCAGUUUGGGGUCACUGCAGGCACACACGUGUGGUUUGGGGUCACCACAAGUGCAGUUUGGGGUCAGUGUGUGCACAGUUUGGGGUCGGUGCAGGUACACAUGUACAGGUUGGGGUCACCAUACACACACAUGCAGUUUGGGGUCACUGUGUGCACAGUUUGGGGUCACUGCAGGCACAUGUGCGGUUUGGGGUCACCACAUGUGCAGUUUGGGGUCACCAUGUGCAGAGUUUGGGGUCACUGUACAUACAGAUGUACAGUUUGGGGUCACUGUGUGCACAGUCUGGGGUCACUACAUGCACACGCAUACAGUUUAGGGUCACCACACGUGCACACGUGCAGUUUGGGGUCACUGCAGGCACACAUGUGCAGAUUGGGGUUACCACACGCAGUUUGGGGUCACCACACAUGCACAUGUGCAGUUUGGGGUCACUGUGUGCACAGUUUGGGGUCACUAUGUGCACAUGUACAGUUUGGAGUCACCACACAUGCAGUUUGGGGUCACCAUGUGCUGAGUUUGGGGUCACUGUACACACACACAUGCAGUUUGGGGUCAUCACCCACGCACACUGGGCUGCACCCAGAGCCCCCCCGCAGCCCCCCACUCACCAGCAGCACCUCCGACUUUGCCUUCUUGGCUGUGCCCAGCGUCAGGGGGGGCUCCGCGGGCUCGGCCGCCCCCAGCUCCCUCCUGCGCCGCGGCGGGGUCCCGUCCUCCAGCAGCUGCACAAAACCCAAAAAAACCCCACAAACCCCCCACAUCAGAGCCCCCUUUUAAAUCUCCAGCCAGGAGGGGGGGCUCGGGGGGGGAUGAAGCCACUGACCGUGAGGUUGAGGGGGUUGAUGACCCCCCCGGGGGGCCGGCAGGAGCCGUUGCCGUCGGUGAGGAUCUCGGUGGGGUACAGGAGCCACUUCCCGUUGGGGACCUCGUAGGGCCACUCGAAACCCAGCAGGAUGGUGCCCAAAUCGCCCAGAGCCUCGCCCUUGGUGGACACCUGCGGGGCAGGGGUGGCACCGGGGGAUGGAGCUGUUCCAUCCACCCGA
RNAcentral lists this long non-coding RNA (1085 nucleotides) under Anas platyrhynchos platyrhynchos (common mallard). Its description in RNAcentral is "lncRNA (ENSAPLG00000019861.1)". Lineage: Eukaryota; Metazoa; Chordata; Aves; Anseriformes; Anatidae. The record is from RNAcentral.